This 445-nucleotide ribosomal RNA is filed under the name uncultured bacterium. RNAcentral's name for it is "bacterial SSU rRNA". It matches the Rfam family "Bacterial small subunit ribosomal RNA", at positions 354 to 796 of the family's 1533-position model. The record is from RNAcentral.
GUGAGGAAUAUUGCGCAAUGGAGGCAACUCUGACGCAGCCAUGCCGCGUGCAGGAAGAAGGCGCUACGCGUUGUAAACUGCUUUUAACCGGGAAGAAACCCCAGGACGUGUCCUGGGUUGACGGUACCGGAGGAAUAAGCACCGGCUAACUUCGUGCCAGCAGCCGCGGUAAUACGAAGGGUGCAAGCGUUAUCCGGAUUCAUCGGGUUUAAAGGGUGCGUAGGCGGAGCGUUAAGUCAGUGGUGAAAUCCUGCAGCUUAACUGUAGACUUGCCAUUGAUACUGGCGCGCUUGAGUGCGCUUGAAGUGGGCGGAAUGUGCCGUGUAGCGGUGAAAUGCUUAGAUAUGGCACAGAACACCAAUUGCGAAGGCAGCUCACUAAGGCGAUACUGACGCUGAGGCACGAAAGCGUGGGGAUCGAACAGGAUUAGAUACCCGUGUAGUCC